AGAACUUUAACAAGCUGUAACAUCCAAUCCGACCAUCCUCUUGAUGUGGAAUUUUUGCAUGCAAUUGUCAAUAUAAGUCUUCUAUAUGUUCAAGAAUUUUUAGUCCAAUCCAACUUACAGAUUGUGAGAAAAAUUCCAAAAAUUACACUAAUGUCACUCGGCCACCAACUUGAAAAGUGAAGUAGAAAUACCAGUAGUGAUUUUUCUCUUUCCAAUCAUUAACUUUGUUUCAAAAUUAAUAUAUAGCUUGAUCUUCAAGUCUUUCAACACCACCCCAAUUUUCACCUUAAUCCAACUAAUAGAUCUUCAAAUAUCAUAGAAACCCUAUCCAACCUCAAACUGCCACCUUCCAAAACCUUCUUGUACUAAAAACUAGUUAUUUCUAAACCACGUCAUUAGAUUAUCACAAAAUUUUGUAUACACUUAGCACAUCUAAUAAUCCAAAUAGUUUCAGAUUUUUAACUAUAGAUGUUAUAUCAAUUACACGAACUAGUCCAAAUUGCUAGCCCUAAUUAUAUUAAAUAAAACCCAAAUCAUUGAUACAAACCCUAACUUUGAACAAAAAUGGUUAAGUACUCAAAAACCUUCCAAAAAUAAUCCUUAGGCCUUUAGAAAGAAAUUCAAGCUAGCUCUCAAAUCCUAUCCUUCGAUCUUUGAAUGCAUCCCUAUUUUAUCCUAGGCCGUUGUUUUAGUGGCUAGAGAUAUGAUUUCGACCCUAUCUUA
RNAcentral lists this long non-coding RNA (723 nucleotides) under Physcomitrium patens. RNAcentral describes it as "long non-coding RNA (PPAT_LNC004011)". The record is from RNAcentral. Lineage: Eukaryota; Viridiplantae; Streptophyta; Bryopsida; Funariales; Funariaceae.